This 279-nucleotide ribosomal RNA is filed under the name uncultured bacterium. RNAcentral's name for it is "partial 16S ribosomal RNA". It matches the Rfam family "Bacterial small subunit ribosomal RNA", at positions 506 to 784 of the family's 1533-position model. The record is from RNAcentral.
UGCCAGCCGCCGCGGUAAUACGGAGGGUCCAAGCGUUAUCCGGAUUUAUUGGGUUUAAAGGGUGCGCAGGCGGAACUUUAAGUCAGUGGUGAAAUCUUGCCGCUUAACGGUAAAAUUGCCAUUGAUACUGAAGUUCUUGAAUGUAGUUGAGGUAGGCGGAAUGUGUUGUGUAGCGGUGAAAUGCAUAGAUUUCGGAAGGAACACCAGUGGCGAAGGCAGCUUACUAAGCUACGAUUGACGCUGAGGCACGAAAGCGUGGGGAGCGAACAGGAUUAGAUA